This 3746-nucleotide long non-coding RNA is filed under the name Volvox carteri. RNAcentral describes it as "long non-coding RNA (VCAR_LNC001176)". Lineage: Eukaryota; Viridiplantae; Chlorophyta; Chlorophyceae; Chlamydomonadales; Volvocaceae. The record is from RNAcentral.
ACAGGCAGGCGGCUGGCAGAGGUUAAGGCCUGACUUCUGCUCCCGGUCGACCUGGGUUCAAAUCCGCCUGCCGACCUCUCGGGUGUUUGAGAGGUGGUGAAAUGGGAGGUGGCCCCCCAUCUUGUGGACGGUGUAGGACGUGAUAAAAUCAACUUGCGAGCUGUCCAGGAACUAGGUUGAGGCGCCGUUGAUCCGCUAGAUUUGGUUGGAUGCUGGUGGUGAGUUGCCAAACUCAAAGAGUACACGCUGAAGUCGGAUGGGGUGAAUGGCUUAGGGUGCCCCUCUAGCAGGGGAGAGCAGGGAAUUGCCUCGGGAAGGAGGCCACUGGUGAAGCUUAACCACCCUGUAACAACAUCAACAACCCCACGCUCGUCCGUCUUAACGAACAUCGCCGAAUCAGACUUCGAAGGAUAAAGACCCAGCUUGGCGAACUCUGCUGAUAGCUUUACAUACCAUGGCAGGCGGCUGGCAGAAGUUAAGGCCUGACUUCUGCUCCCAGUCGAUCCAGUCGACCCGGGUUCAAAUCCGCCUGCCAGCUCCUCGGGUAUUUGAGGAGUGAUGAAAUGGGAGGUGGCCCCCCAUCAUAUGGACGGUGUAGGACGUGAUAAUAUCAACUUGCGAGCUGACCAGGAACUAAGUUGAUGCGCCGUUGAUCCGCUAGAUUUGGUUGGAUGCUGGUGGUGAGUUGCCGAACCCAACGAAUACAUUCUGAAGUCGGAUGGGGUGACGGAUUAGGGUGCCCCUCUAGCAGGGGAGAGCAGGGACUGCCCCGGGAAAGGGGGCCGCUGGCGAAGUUAACCACCCUGUAAUAACAUACAUACCAGCAACGGGGUGCCUGCUUCAAACCGUAAAUAGACCUCUCCAGCUUGCACGCAAGCGACCGGUCACUGGAUGCAUACCCAGGCGGUUGCUCCAUCCACAACUCCUCCUUCAACUCGCCAUUCAAAAAUGCAGUAGACACAUCGAGCUGGUGCACCGUCAUGUUCCGCGCUGCGGCAACUGCUAGUAAAGCACGUAAUGACGAACACGUGAGGUAGGGGCAAACAACUCCAGGCCUGGCUUCUGCUCCCGACGUGUUCCGGCGCGUCCGGGUUCAAAUCCGCCUGCCGACCUCUCGGGGUGUUUGAGAGGUGAUGAAAUGGGAGGUGGCUCCCCAUCUUAUGGACGGUGUAGGACGUGAUAAAAUCAACUCGCGAGCUGACCAGGAACUAAGUUGACGCGCCGUUGAUCCGCUAGAUCUGGUUGGAUGCUGGUGGUGAGUUGCCAAACUCAAAGAGUACACGCUGAAGUCGGAUGGGGUGAAUGGCUUAGGGUGCCCCUCUAGCAGGGGAGAGCAGGGAAUUGCCUCGGGAAGGAGGCCACUGGUGAAGCUUAACCACCCUGUAACAACAUCAACAACCCCACGCUCGUCCGUCUUAACGAACAUCGCCGAAUCAGACUUCGAAGGAUAAAGACCCAGCUUGGCGAACUCUGCUGAUAGCUUUACAUACCAUGGCAGGCGGCUGGCAGAAGUUAAGGCCUGACUUCUGCUCCCAGUCGAUCCAGUCGACCCGGGUUCAAAUCCGCCUGCCAGCUCCUCGGGUAUUUGAGGAGUGAUGAAAUGGGAGGUGGCCCCCCAUCAUAUGGACGGUGUAGGACGUGAUAAUAUCAACUUGCGAGCUGACCAGGAACUAAGUUGAUGCGCCGUUGAUCCGCUAGAUUUGGUUGGAUGCUGGUGGUGAGUUGCCGAACCCAACGAAUACAUUCUGAAGUCGGAUGGGGUGACGGAUUAGGGUGCCCCUCUAGCAGGGGAGAGCAGGGACUGCCCCGGGAAAGGGGGCCGCUGGCGAAGUUAACCACCCUGUAAUAACAUACAUACCAGCAACGGGGUGCCUGCUUCAAACCGUAAAUAGACCUCUCCAGCUUGCACGCAAGCGACCGGUCACUGGAUGCAUACCCAGGCGGUUGCUCCAUCCACAACUCCUCCUUCAACUCGCCAUUCAAAAAUGCAGUAGACACAUCGAGCUGGUGCACCGUCAUGUUCCGCGCUGCGGCAACUGCUAGUAAAGCACGUAAUGACGAACACGUGAGGUAGGGGCAAACAACUCCAGGCCUGGCUUCUGCUCCCGACGUGUUCCGGCGCGUCCGGGUUCAAAUCCGCCUGCCGACCUCUCGGGGUGUUUGAGAGGUGAUGAAAUGGGAGGUGGCUCCCCAUCUUAUGGACGGUGUAGGACGUGAUAAAAUCAACUCGCGAGCUGACCAGGAACUAAGUUGACGCGCCGUUGAUCCGCUAGAUCUGGUUGGAUGCUGGUGGUGAGUUGCCAAACUCAAAGAGUACACGCUGAAGUCGGAUGGGGUGAAUGGCUUAGGGUGCCCCUCUAGCAGGGGAGAGCAGGGAAUUGCCUCGGGAAGGAGNNNNNNNNNNNNNNNNNNNNNNNNNNNNNNNNNNNNNNNNNNNNNNNNNNUUCAGACUUAUCUUGCUGUUUUUGUGUUUGUUCGGCGUUCAAGUCGUUGCCUUUUGCGUGUUUGUCUAUGGAAGGACCGGUCAUACAUUCUGCUAUGCCGCGUUGACUCACGGGCUUGACCUUCUUACGGCCCCUCAUAUCUAUUUUAUGAUCGAUAAUACUAAGUUCUGCACACUACGGAGCAAUCUGGCAGCAAUGGACGUUUUUGGCUGAAGGAAUGAAAAUGUACGGAUCGGCCUCACUUUGUUCCUUAUUUCCAAAGGCCAAAAAGGCCUCUUUAUUCCUUAAAAGUAAUAUAUUACUUAAAAAAAAAACACUGCCGUUGGGUCCUAUUACUGUGGCUACCAUUCACUGGUAUAUGAGUGUCGGUCAUUUCCAACACCCCCCCGUGAGCGACACUCCAUCGCUACGGGCCGUCCCGUGCCUCAUCCCGGUCUCCCAUUCUCUAGGCAACAGCCAGUGGGUAUCGAUCCGGCGACCUCUCGGCAGCGCAAUGCGCCAUUCGGGGCUCAUUUCUUAUUGACGAAUUGGCGACGGAGACAGCUAACGCUGAUUGUUAUUCCGGAAGGAUUGCCGGUGGCGAAGAUAUUUUGCACAAUAAAAUAUUACAAGUAAUGUAAAGAGUAUUAUUAGCGUUCGGCAGGACUUGAGGAGAUUCCUAUGAGGAAUACCGAUCGUAGUGAGAUAAACAAAUAAGCGCAGUCACCGCCCUAAAUACCGGCGCUAGCGGAAAACUCGUACAUUCCGCGAUCUAACUGCACGUACAUUCCGCGAUCUCACUGCGCCGUCCUGACGGUGCCCAAAUGUCUAUCACUUAGCUACAGUAUAUGCAUCGGUAGCCCAUAAGGUUCUGGGUUAAGUCUUCCCCAUUAGUCAGGCGCAGUCUCAGGGUCAAGACCCCUGGUUGACAACCAUACGAGUUGGGAGAGGACCGUUUCCUCAACAAAGGUCACGCACCUUGAAGACUUUCGCUAUUGCGGCUUUAAUUGCCCGGACCAUUUCCGGGUCUUCUGACGCAAUAAUGGUGUCAUCUACGUGCACCAAAGCAAUAACAGGCAGGCGGCUGGCAGAGGUUAAGGCCUGACUUCUGCUCCCGGUCGACCUGGGUUCAAAUCCGCCUGCCGACCUCUCGGGUGUUUGAGAGGUGGUGAAAUGGGAGGUGGCCCCCCAUCUUGUGGACGGUGUAGGACGUGAUAAAAUCAACUUGCGAGCUGUCCAGGAACUAGGUUGAGGCGCCGUUGAUCCGCUAGAUUUGGUUGGAUGCUGGUGGUGAGUUGCCAAACUCAAAGAGUACACGCUGAA